GGAUGUAUGGCUGAGAGGCUGAAAGCGCCCGUCUUGAAAACGGGUCGACCGCAAGGUCGCGGGAGUUCGAAUCUCUCUACAUCCG
This 85-nucleotide transfer RNA is filed under the name Caulobacter phage CcrColossus. It matches the Rfam family "tRNA". Rfam says of the family: Transfer RNA (tRNA) molecules are approximately 80 nucleotides in length. Their secondary structure includes four short double-helical elements and three loops (D, anti-codon, and T loops). Lineage: Duplodnaviria; Heunggongvirae; Uroviricota; Caudoviricetes; Jeanschmidtviridae. The record is from Rfam by way of RNAcentral.